GACGAACGCUGGCGGCGUGCUUAACACAUGCAAGUCGAACGGAAAGGCGCGGCGUUUGUGGGGUGCUCGAGUGGCGAACGGGUGAGUAACACGUGAGGAACCUGCCCUUGACUGUGGGAUAACUUCAGGAAACUGGGGCGAAUACCGGAGAGGAUCUCCUGCUGCAUGGGGGUGGUUGGAAAGAGUCGGCGGUGGUGGAUCGACUCGCGGCUUAUCAGCUGGUUGGUGGGGUAGUGGCGGACGAAGGCUUCGACGGGUAGCCGGCCUGAGAGGGUGACCGGCCACAUUGGGACUGCGGUAGGGACCAGAAUCCUACGGGAGGCAGAAGUGGGGAAUAUUGCAGAGUGGGCGGAAGCCUGAUGCAGCAACGCCGCGUGCGGGAUGACCGCCUUCUGGUUAUAAACCGCUUUCGACUGUGCCGAAGCGUGCGUGACGGUAAUGGGUCAAGAAGCACCGGCUAACUACGUG
This 468-nucleotide ribosomal RNA is filed under the name uncultured bacterium. RNAcentral's name for it is "partial 16S ribosomal RNA". It matches the Rfam family "Bacterial small subunit ribosomal RNA", at positions 28 to 507 of the family's 1533-position model. The record is from RNAcentral.